RNAcentral lists this ribosomal RNA (1000 nucleotides) under uncultured bacterium. Its description in RNAcentral is "bacterial SSU rRNA". It matches the Rfam family "Bacterial small subunit ribosomal RNA", at positions 504 to 1503 of the family's 1533-position model. The record is from RNAcentral.
UGUGCCAGCAGCCGCGGUGAUACAGAGGGUGCAAGCGUUAAUCGGAAUUACUGGGCGUAAAGCGAGCGUAGGUGGCUUGAUAAGUCAGAUGUGAAAUCCCCGGGCUUAACCUGGGAACUGCAUCUGAUACUGUUAGGCUAGAAUAGGUGAGAGGAAGGUAGAAUUCCAGGUGUAGCGGUGAAAUGCGUAGAGAUCUGGAGGAAUACCGAUGGCGAAGGCAGCCUUCUGGCAUCAUAUUGACACUGAGGUUCGAAAGCGUGGGUAGCAAACAGGAUUAGAUACCCUGGUAGUCCACGCCGUAAACGAUGUCUACUAGUCGUUGGGUCCCCUGAGGACUUAGUGACGCAGCUAACGCAAUAAGUAGACCGCCUGGGGAGUACGGCCGCAAGGUUAAAACUCAAAUGAAUUGACGGGGGCCCGCACAAGCGGUGGAGCAUGUGGUUUAAUUCGAUGCAACGCGAAGAACCUUACCUGGUCUUGACAUAUCUAGAAUCCUGCAGAGAUGCGGGAGUGCCUUCGGGAAUUAGAAUACAGGUGCUGCAUGGCUGUCGUCAGCUCGUGUCGUGAGAUGUUGGGUUAAGUCCCGCAACGAGCGCAACCCUUGUCCUUAGUUACCAGCGGGUUAAGCCGGGAACUCUAAGGAUACUGCCAGUGACAAACUGGAGGAAGGCGGGGACGACGUCAAGUCAUCAUGGCCCUUACGACCAAGGCUACACACGUGCUACAAUGGUAGGUACAGAGGGCAGCUACACAGCGAUGUGAUGCGAAUCUCAAAAAGCCUAUCGUAGUCCAGAUUGGAGUCUGCAACUCGACUCCAUGAAGUAGGAAUCGCUAGUAAUCGCGGAUCAGAAUGCCGCGGUGAAUACGUUCCCGGGCCUUGUACACACCGCCCGUCACACCAUGGGAGUUGAUUGCACCAGAAGUGGAUAGCCUAACCUUCGGGAAGGCGUUCACCACGGUGUGGUUGAUGACUGGGGUGAAGUCGUAACAAGGUAACCGA